AGUGAACGCUGGCGGUAGGCCUAACACAUGCAAGUCGAACGGCAGCACAGUAAGAGCUUGCUCUUACGGGUGGCGAGUGGCGGACGGGUGAGGAAUACAUCGGAAUCUACUUUUUCGUGGGGGAUAACGUAGGGAAACUUACGCUAAUACCGCAUACGACCUACGGGUGAAAGCAGGGGAUCUUCUGACCUUGCGCGAUUGAAUGAGCCGAUGUCGGAUUAGCUAGUUGGCGGGGUAAAGGGCCACCAAGGCGACGAUCCGUAGCUGGUCUGAGAGGAUGAUCAGCCACACUGGCACUGAGACACGGUCCAGACUCCUACGGGAGGCAGCAGUGGGGAAUAUUGGACAAUGGGCGAAAGCCUGAUCCAGCCAUACCGCGUGGGUGAAGAAGGCCUUCGGGUUGUAAAGCCCUUUUGUUGGGAAAGAAAAGCAGCAGGUUAAUCCCCCGCUGUUCUGACGGUACCCAAAGAAUAAGCACCGGCUAACUUCGUG
RNAcentral lists this ribosomal RNA (492 nucleotides) under uncultured bacterium. Its description in RNAcentral is "partial 16S ribosomal RNA". It matches the Rfam family "Bacterial small subunit ribosomal RNA", at positions 29 to 507 of the family's 1533-position model. The record is from RNAcentral.